GACGAACGCUGGCGGCGUGCCUAAUACAUGCAAGUAGAACGCACAGUUUAUACCGUAGCUUGCUACACCAUAGACUGUGAGUUGCGAACGGGUGAGUAACGCGUAGGUAACCUGCCUGGUAGCGGGGGAUAACUAUUGGACACGAUAGCUAAUACCGCAUAAUAUUGAUUAUUGCAUGAUAAUUGAUUGAAAGAUGCUAUUGCAUCACUACCAGAUGGACCUGCGUUGUAUUAGCUAGUAGGUGAGGUAACGGCUCACCUAGGCGACGAUACAUAGCCGACCUGAGAGGGUGAUCGGCCACACUGGGACUGAGACACGGCCCAGACUCCUACGGGAGGCAGCAGUAGGGAAUCUUCGGCAAUGGACGAAAGUCUGACCGAGCAACGCCGCGUGAGUGAAGAAGGUUUUCGGAUCGUAAAGCUCUGUUGUAAGAGAAGAACGGGUGUGAGAGUGGAAAGUUCACACUGUGACGGUAUCUUACCAGAAAGGGACGGCUAACUACGU
Molecule: ribosomal RNA, 504 nt
Filed under: uncultured bacterium
Lineage: Bacteria
Description: partial 16S ribosomal RNA
Rfam family: Bacterial small subunit ribosomal RNA
Source: RNAcentral